Mastomys coucha (southern multimammate mouse) is the source of this 329-nucleotide long non-coding RNA. RefSeq lists it as uncharacterized. The transcript has 3 exons. The record is from RefSeq and is a predicted model, not a curated record. Lineage: Eukaryota; Metazoa; Chordata; Mammalia; Rodentia; Muridae.
GGUACAAGGAAAAAUUCGCUCUUUGUAGCUCCUGGAUUGUCUCUUUAAAGAUGAACGCUCUUGCCCUCUAGUUCCUCUUCAUCCCUCUGCUUAGAAAUGGCAAUAACCGUGUGUAGCUGUGGACAUGUAUACUGAUGAGGGAAGAAACAGCGGGUCUGCAAGGGGAAACACCUUACUAAGGCUUGUAGCAGAGACUUGAUGGUGGGAAGUACACACUGGUGAAUGAAUGAAGAAGCAAAGGGUUCAAGGUGAAAGACGGGGAAUAAAAACAAUUGAAGAAGGUCCUGAGUUCGGAUCCCAGCAACCACAUGGUGGCUCACAUCCACCCA